Molecule: ribosomal RNA, 515 nt
Filed under: Cladosporium cladosporioides
Lineage: Eukaryota; Fungi; Ascomycota; Dothideomycetes; Cladosporiales; Cladosporiaceae
Description: eukaryotic LSU rRNA
Rfam family: 5.8S ribosomal RNA (bases 165-318)
Source: RNAcentral
GGAUCAUUACAAGUGACCCCGGUUUACCACCGGGAUGUUCAUAACCCUUUGUUGUCCGACUCUGUUGCCUCCGGGGCGACCCUGCCUUCGGGCGGGGGCUCCGGGUGGACACUUCAAACUCUUGCGUAACUUUGCAGUCUGAGUAAACUUAAUUAAUAAAUUAAAACUUUUAACAACGGAUCUCUUGGUUCUGGCAUCGAUGAAGAACGCAGCGAAAUGCGAUAAGUAAUGUGAAUUGCAGAAUUCAGUGAAUCAUCGAAUCUUUGAACGCACAUUGCGCCCCCUGGUAUUCCGGGGGGCAUGCCUGUUCGAGCGUCAUUUCACCACUCAAGCCUCGCUUGGUAUUGGGCAACGCGGUCCGCCGCGUGCCUCAAAUCGACCGGCUGGGUCUUCUGUCCCCUAAGCGUUGUGGAAACUAUUCGCUAAAGGGUGCUCGGGAGGCUACGCCGUAAAACAACCCCAUUUCUAAGGUUGACCUCGGAUCAGGUAGGGAUACCCGCUGAACUUAAGCAUAU